GAUGAACGCUGGCGGCGUGCCUAAUACAUGCAAGUCGAGCGAACAGAUGAGGAGCUUGCUCCUCUGACGUUAGCGGCGGACGGGUGAGUAACACGUGGAUAACCUACCUAUAAGACUGGGAUAACUUCGGGAAACCGGAGCUAAUACCGGAUAAUAUAUUGAACCGCAUGGUUCAAUAGUGAAAGACGGUUUUGCUGUCACUUAUAGAUGGAUCCGCGCCGCAUUAGCUAGUUGGUAAGGUAACGGCUUACCAAGGCAACGAUGCGUAGCCGACCUGAGAGGGUGAUCGGCCACACUGGAACUGAGACACGGUCCAGACUCCUACGGGAGGCAGCAGUAGGGAAUCUUCCGCAAUGGGCGAAAGCCUGACGGAGCAACGCCGCGUGAGUGAUGAAGGUCUUCGGAUCGUAAAACUCUGUCAUUAGGGAAGAACAAAUGUGUAAGUAACUAUACACGUCUUGACGGUACCUAAUCAGAAAGCCACGGCUAACUACGUG
This 497-nucleotide ribosomal RNA is filed under the name uncultured bacterium. Its description in RNAcentral is "partial 16S ribosomal RNA". It matches the Rfam family "Bacterial small subunit ribosomal RNA", at positions 28 to 507 of the family's 1533-position model. The record is from RNAcentral.